GUUUGAGGGCUUCUAACUCUUCUUUGUUUAUAUUGUUUAAAUACGCUUUUCAAGAAGCUAUCUUUUUACUUGUUUCAAACUGUUUUUUCUUACUUGAUUCAAUCANNNNNNNNNNNNNNNNNNNNNNNNNNNNNNNNNNNNNNNNNGGAUAAAACCAACAUAUAAGAGUUCGAUUGUGAUCCCGAAAAAACAAUCGGGUGGUUCUAGUCGGUGAGCCUGUGAAAACCGACCGAGUUCGUUGUGAUCUCGUAAAACAACAAUUUGGGUUGUGAGCUUGUAAAACAACCGGCUGUAAUCCGAGGGAUUAUAGUGAACUCCCAAGUGAAGCUUGGGGAGUGGACGUAGGAGCAAGGGUUAGCUCCGAACCACUAUAAAAUCUCUUGUGUUUGUGAUUGUUUCAUUGUCUCUUCCAUUCCCUUCAUCCACUGCAUAUAGUAACUAAUUAAUCCACUUGCAAUAAGUUUUAAUUAGUUACUCACAAGGUUUUUAAUUGCAAUAAUUACUUAAAACCCAAUUCACCCCUCCUCUUGGGUUGUCUUUUUGGGCAACAACUAGUUUUGAUAUUAAUUCCAUACUAGCAUGUCCUAGUCUGCGAUGCCAAAGCCAACUUGUUUCAUUUUUCUUUUCUUCAUUAGUAAUUAAACAUAAUCCAUUUUUCUUGCCUAAUUCAUGAAGAUCUACCAUGUAAAUAUUUCUUUGCCUUUGUCCUAUAAGUACAAUGCUAUUAUCUUUAGGAUUUGUGAUUAUGUAUACUGAUGCUUCAAAUGUGACUUUAAACCCUUUAUCACAAAAUUGACUUAUGCUAAGUAGGUUAUGUUUCAAACCAUUAACUAAUAAGACAUUUUCUAUGAAGGUAGAUGGAGUAAUGAAAAUUUUACCCUUUCCAAUAAUAUACCCUUUUUCAUUGUCUCCAUAGGUUACUACUCCACCCUUCUUAGAUUCCAAGGUGACAAAUUGGUCUACGUCACCGGUCAUGUGUCUUGAACAGCCGCUAUCUAGAUACCAUCGUUUAUCCACUAUUAGCUGCAAGACACCCCUGCAAUCAAGAUCAAGAAUGAGCUUUAGGUACCCAAACUAUGUUGGGUCCUUUAGGGUUAGUACUUGAUGUUCCUUUUGGAACCCAAACUUUCUUGAAUUUAAGCUUAUAAUUAUUACUCAAUUUAUUUUGGCUGGACUUUCUAUAGUUACAUUUAUAUGCUUUAUGUCCUAAUUUAUUGCAACAAUGACAAGUAAUAUUUUCAUUUUUAGCUUUUACAAAUAUGUUCUUUAAGUAUUUUUGUUUUCUAUUUGUUUUAUAUCCUAAUCCAGCCUUAUCAUAUACAGCUUUUUGACUAUCAAGAAUCAUAUUUAAUUUGGUUGAGCUUAGAGUAAACUUGUCUACUAAGGAUUUAUAUUUUUCAGCAUCUUCUUUUAACUUGACAUUUUCAACAAUUAGAUUCUUGGUUUCAUUUGUGAGUCUCCUACUUAAUGUUUCACAGUUAUGAGAUAGUUUCAGCUUAUCUUUGAUAAAAGAUUGAUUUUCUUCUUUUAGAACUUUAUUUUUAUUGAUUAGUUUUUUGUGUUCUUCCAUGAGUUCUAAAAAUGCAUCAUGUAAUUCAUCAACAGUAAAAUCACAUUCAAGUUCAGAAUCUACCUCAUCGUCAUUGGCCAUAUGACAUAUUUGGGCCGUCUCUUGAUGAUCUUCCUCUUCCGAACUUGACUCCUCACUUUCACUCCAUUCAGCCAUGAAGUUCUUCUUUUUAAGUUUUUUUGCCAUCCACUUUAAUU
This 1767-nucleotide long non-coding RNA is filed under the name Phoenix dactylifera (date palm). RNAcentral describes it as "long non-coding RNA (PDAC_LNC011338)". The record is from RNAcentral. Lineage: Eukaryota; Viridiplantae; Streptophyta; Magnoliopsida; Arecales; Arecaceae.